Molecule: ribosomal RNA, 397 nt
Filed under: uncultured bacterium
Lineage: Bacteria
Description: bacterial SSU rRNA
Rfam family: Bacterial small subunit ribosomal RNA
Source: RNAcentral
AUAUUGCACAAUGGGGGAAACCCUGAUGCAGCGACGCCGCGUGAGCGAAGAAGUAUUUCGGUAUGUAAAGCUCUAUCAGCAGGGCAGAAAAUGACGGUACCUGACUAAGAAGCACCGGCUAAAUACGUGCCAGCAGCCGCGGUAAUACGUAUGGUGCAAGCGUUAUCCGGAUUUACGGGGUUUAAAGGGAGCGUAGACGGAGCAGCAAGUCUGGAGUGAAAACCCGGGGCUCAACCCCGGGACUGCUUUGGAAGCUGUUGUUCUAGAGUGCUGGAGAGGUAAGUGGAAUUCCUAGUGUAGCGGUGAAAUGCGUAGAUAUUAGGAGGAACACCAGUGGCGAAGGCGGCUUACUGGACAGUAACUGACGUUGAGGCUCGAAAGCGUGGGGAGCAAACAG